AUGUUGGGCCAAUGACCUUGUUAAUCUGACAUGAAUACGACCUCCACAAUGAAAUUUUUGGUCAAGUUUUAUAAAUCAACAUUAUGAUAAAAUUAUUGUGCGGGCUUAUUGAAGGUUUUAUUAGAUUUCAAAAUUUCUUUUUUUUAAGUCGUAGGGUUUCACUCUAGUUCAGCCCGCCUUAUUCUGUUGCAUAAAACGCGUUGGGUCAACCACCUACUUGGUACACUAGACGGGCCGGUACGGUUAGGACUAGAUUGCAGCAUCCUUGUACUGGCUCGGAUAUGCAACUUCUAAACUUGUGUAACGUUUAAAGGAUGCCUUUUUUGAAUUUUUUAAAUUUUGAAAUUUAACAUGAACUUGAAUAAAUAUAAGCCGUGCGCCAUUAUAUAUUUUUUGUAAGCUGUGAUGUAUGUAUAGGUAUAGAAAAUUCUUAGGAAAAAAUUCUAAUCAUUUUAUGAAAAUCACAAAAUAAGAUUAGUAGACAAAAGUAUAGAUCUAUUCAAUAAAGAUUAAAUCUUUCAA
Eurytemora carolleeae is the source of this 522-nucleotide long non-coding RNA. RefSeq lists it as uncharacterized. Lineage: Eukaryota; Metazoa; Arthropoda; Copepoda; Calanoida; Temoridae. The record is from RefSeq and is a predicted model, not a curated record. The transcript has 2 exons.